RNAcentral lists this ribosomal RNA (253 nucleotides) under uncultured bacterium. Its description in RNAcentral is "partial 16S ribosomal RNA". It matches the Rfam family "Bacterial small subunit ribosomal RNA", at positions 524 to 776 of the family's 1533-position model. The record is from RNAcentral.
UACGUAGGGUGCAAGCGUUGUCCGGAAUUAUUGGGCGUAAAGAGCUCGUAGGCGGUCAGUCGCGUCUGCUGUGAAAACCCGGGGCUCAACCCCGGGCCUGCAGUCGAUACGGGCAGACUAGAGUGCGGUAGGGGAGACUGGAAUUCCUGGUGUAGCGGUGAAAUGCGCAGAUAUCAGGAGGAACACCGGUGGCGAAGGCGGGUCUCUGGGCCGUAACUGACGCUGAGGAGCGAAAGCGUGGGGAGCGAACAGG